This 830-nucleotide ribosomal RNA is filed under the name uncultured bacterium. RNAcentral describes it as "bacterial SSU rRNA". It matches the Rfam family "Bacterial small subunit ribosomal RNA", at positions 23 to 898 of the family's 1533-position model. The record is from RNAcentral.
CUCAGAACGAACGCUGGCGGCAGGCCUAACACAUGCAAGUCGAGCGAUUGCAGCAAUGCAGGAGCGGCAGACGGGUGCGGAACACGUGGGAACAUACCCUUUGGUUUGGAAUAACUCAGGGAAACUUGAGCUAAUACCGGAUAAGCCCGCAAGGGGAAAGAUUUAUCGCCGAAGGAUUGGCCCGCGUCCGAUUAGCUAGUUGGUGAGGUAAUGGCUCACCAAGGCGACGAUCGGUAGCUGGUCUGAGAGGAUGAUCAGCCACAUUGGGACUGAGACACGGCCCAAACUCCUACGGGAGGCAGCAGUGGGGAAUAUUGGACAAUGGGCGCAAGCCUGAUCCAGCCAUGCCGCGUGAGUGAUGACGGCCUUAGGGUUGUAAAGCUCUUUCACCCACGACGAUAAUGACGGUAGUGGGAGAAGAAGCCCCGGCUAACUUCGUGCCAGCAGCCGCGGUAAUACGAGGGGGGCUAGCGUUGUUCGGAUUUACUGGGCGUAAAGCGCACGUAGGCGGAUCUUUAAGUCAGGGGUGAAAUGCCGGAGCUCAACUUCGGAACUGCCUUUGAUACUGGAGGUCUCGAGUCCGGGAGAGGUGAGUGGAACUGCGAGUGUAGAGGUGAAAUUCGUAGAUAUUCGCAAGAACACCAGUGGCGAAGGCGGCUCACUGGCCCGGUACUGACGCUGAGGUGCGAAAGCGUGGGGAGCAAACAGGAUUAGAUACCCUGGUAGUCCACGCCGUAAACGAUGGAUGCUAGCCGUUGGGGAGCUUGCUCUUCAGUGGCGCAGCUAACGCUUUAAGCAUCCCGCCUGGGGAGUACGGUCGCAAGAUUAAA